GAUGAACGCUGGCGGCGUGCCUAAUACAUGCAAGUCGAGCGAACGGACGAGAAGCUUGCUUCUCUGAUGUUAGCGGCGGACGGGUGAGUAACACGUGGAUAACCUACCUAUAAGACUGGGAUAACUUCGGGAAACCGGAGCUAAUACCGGAUAAUAUUUUGAACCGCAUGGUUCAAAAGUGAAAGACGGUCUUGCUGUCACUUAUAGAUGGAUCCGCGCUGCAUUAGCUAGUUGGUAAGGUAACGGCUUACCAAGCAACGAUGCAUAGCCGACCUGAGAGGGUGAUCGGCCACACUGGAACUGAGACACGGUCCAGACUCCUACGGGAGGCAGCAGUAGGGAAUCUUCCGCAAUGGGCGAAAGCCUGACGGAGCAACGCCGCGUGAGUGAUGAAGGUCUUCGGAUCGUAAAACUCUGUUAUUAGGGAAGAACAUAUGUGUAAGUAACUGUGCACAUCUUGACGGUACCUAAUCAGAAAGCCACGGCUAACUACGUG
RNAcentral lists this ribosomal RNA (496 nucleotides) under uncultured bacterium. Its description in RNAcentral is "partial 16S ribosomal RNA". It matches the Rfam family "Bacterial small subunit ribosomal RNA", at positions 28 to 507 of the family's 1533-position model. The record is from RNAcentral.